CAGUCGCCACGGUAAUACGAAGGGGGCUAGCGUUGCUCGGAAUGACUGGGCGUAAAGAGCGCGUAGGCGGAUGGCACAGUCAGAUGUGAAAUUCCCGGGCUUAACCUGGGGGCUGCAUUUGAUACGUGUUGUCUAGAGUGAGGAAGAGGGUCGUGGAAUUCCUAGUGUAGAGGUGAAAUUCGUAGAUAUUGGGAAGAACACCGGUGGCGAAGGCGGCGACCUGGUCCUUUACUGACGCUGAGGCGCGAAAGCGUGAGGAGCAAACAGGAUUAGAUACCCCCGUAGUCCCUGUCUCUUAUAC
Molecule: ribosomal RNA, 301 nt
Filed under: uncultured bacterium
Lineage: Bacteria
Description: partial 16S ribosomal RNA
Rfam family: Bacterial small subunit ribosomal RNA
Source: RNAcentral